AGAGGAAGUAAAAGUCGUAACAAGGUUUCCGUAGGUGAACCUGCGGAAGGAUCAUUAUCGAGUUUUGAAACGGGGUUGUCGCUGGCCUUCUUUAUUAUUGAUGGAGGCAUGUGCACGCUCCGCUCAAUCCAUCUUCUUACACCUGUGAACCUUUUGGUAAGUCGGUUUCGGGUCGGCCUCGAGAGGGGUUGUGGCUCGUGCCUUCCGGCCUCAUAUAUGAACCAGUGAAAGUCAUAGAAUGUGCUCGCGUUUGUAACGCACCUUAAUACAACUUUCAGCAACGGAUCUCUUGGCUCUCGCAUCGAUGAAGAACGCAGCGAAAUGCGAUAAGUAAUGUGAAUUGCAGAUUUCAGUGAAUCAUCGAAUCUUUGAACGCACCUUGCGCUCCUUGGUAUUCCGAGGAGCAUGCCUGUUUGAGUGUCGUGGAAUCAUCAACUUCAUCUCCUUUGUUGGGGCUUGAAGCUUGGACUUUGGAGGCUUCUGCCGGCUCUAGUCAGUCGGCUCCUCUCGAACGCAUUAGCGCGAACCUUUUGCGGAUCGGCCGUCGGUGUGAUAAUCGUCUACGCCGCGGUCGUGACGCUCUGUGGGUCGGCUUCCAAUCGUCCCUUUGUGGGACAGCUUUCUGACCAUCUGACCUCAAAUCAGGUAGGACUACCCGCUGAACUUAAGCAUAUCAAUAAGCGGAGGAAAAGAAACUAACAAGGAUUCCCCUAGUAACUGCGAGUGAAGCGGGAAGAGCUCAAAUUUAAAAUCUGACGGUUUCACCGCCGUCCGAGUUGUAAUCUGGAGAAGUGCUUUCCGCGCUGGACCGUGUACAAGUUCUCCUGA
This 828-nucleotide ribosomal RNA is filed under the name Sparassis nemecii. RNAcentral's name for it is "eukaryotic LSU rRNA". The stretch from base 270 to 423 matches the Rfam family "5.8S ribosomal RNA". The record is from RNAcentral. Lineage: Eukaryota; Fungi; Basidiomycota; Agaricomycetes; Polyporales; Sparassidaceae.